AUUGAACGCUGGCGGCAGGCUUAACACAUGCAAGUCGAGCGGGGUGAUGGUGCUUGCACUAUCACUUAGCGGCGGACGGGUGAGUAAUGCUUAGGAAUCUGCCUAUUAGUGGGGGACAACAUCUCGAAAGGGAUGCUAAUACCGCAUACGUCCUACGGGAGAAAGCAGGGGAUCACUUGUGACCUUGCGCUAAUAGAUGAGCCUAAGUCGGAUUAGCUAGUUGGUGGGGUAAAGGCCUACCAAGGCGACGAUCUGUAGCGGGUCUGAGAGGAUGAUCCGCCACACGGGGACUGGGACACGGCCCAGACUCCGACGGGAGGCAGCAGUGGGGAAUAUUGGACAAUGGGGGGAACCCUGAUCCAGCCAUGCCGCGUGUGUGAAGAAGGCCUUAUGGUUGUAAAGCACUUUAAGCGAGGAGGAGGCUCUUUUGGUUAAUACCCAAGAUGAGUGGACGUUACUCGCAGAAUAAGCACCGGCUAACUCUGUGCCAGCCGCCGCAGUAA
RNAcentral lists this ribosomal RNA (503 nucleotides) under uncultured bacterium. RNAcentral describes it as "partial 16S ribosomal RNA". It matches the Rfam family "Bacterial small subunit ribosomal RNA", at positions 30 to 523 of the family's 1533-position model. The record is from RNAcentral.